Molecule: non-coding RNA, 1020 nt
Organism: Doryrhamphus excisus (bluestripe pipefish)
Lineage: Eukaryota; Metazoa; Chordata; Actinopteri; Syngnathiformes; Syngnathidae
Source: RefSeq, a predicted model, not a curated record
GAUUACUGGACGUGGAAGGAGAGCGAGAGAGAGAGAGUCGGGGAGAAAAAAUGUUCCAACUCAUAUCAGAUGUGCAUUUUUGGAUGGAAAACAGCGCCACCCAGCGGUUCAAGCAAAUGGAAACGCAUAUUUUUCUUCGAUUUUCCAUUAACCACAAUUUCUUAUCUUAAGAGAGCAUUAUGACAAGAAAAGGCCAACAAUAAAGAUUAUGUUAAUUUAAUGUCAUUGGGUGAAAUAUAAUGAUUUCAUGUGACUUCGGAGUUGUAAACGAGUUCAUAGUAAAUAAAUAACUGUUAAAAAUGUAUGGUAAAACGUGUUAAAAAUAUAUGGUAAAAAUUAUUGUCCAUAAAGAAUCGUUACAGUGACAGCAAGAGUAAGUGCUGUUCUCGCUAUUAGACAAUCUUUGACAUUUUCCCGUUUGUGAAGCGCAAGCUAGCAAUGGCAGAAACGAUUGAAGUUUGAAAAAGCUCCUCAACAAGCUGUUUGUUUUAAAAACGUUUAAGCCUGUAGUACGCCUUGUGAAAAUGUCUUUAGAGGAAAGCUGCGCCACAAGCAGACACACUUUGAGCUGUAUUUCCAAGAAACGCACAGUUUGGAAGAAGAAAAAGCAGAUUUAACCCUUUGAAGCACGUUGAACCCAACGUGUUGUGCUCCAGCAGCAUUGCUUCCCAAGGUUCUCGUUGCUCUCAUAGCAACCGGAGUCCCGUGGCGAGUCUCCGACCAGACCCUGUCCCCCGGACAGAAGUUUCUCCUGGGAGCCCGACAGGCCGCCUCCGCGCUCUGGAUCGCUGCUGCCUGGAGACGCACAAAUGCGCUGCGGUGGAAGGUCUGGCACGCCGGGUAUCCCACCUUGAGGUUGAUGCGUUCCAGCAGCUCCUCCACGGACGUGGGCUUGGGUGGUCUGCCCUUCCUCCGCCUCCUCACCGGCCGCUUGGGUUUCUCUUCUUCCUCGCUCAGCACGUCCACGUAGAUGAACUUGAAGGUGCCCACCUUGUUGUUGAGCAGACCCAUCCAGGUGCC